Small nuclear RNA from Choloepus hoffmanni (Hoffmann's two-fingered sloth), 62 nucleotides. Its record names the gene U7. It matches the Rfam family "U7 small nuclear RNA". From Rfam's summary of the family: Animal histone pre-mRNAs are spliced by a different mechanism than nuclear pre-mRNAs and self-splicing introns. This processing involves the U7 snRNP, which contains only one RNA species: U7. The 5' end of U7 RNA is thought to base-pair to a conserved spacer element downstream of the cleavage site in histone pre-mRNA. Lineage: Eukaryota; Metazoa; Chordata; Mammalia; Pilosa; Megalonychidae. The record is from Ensembl.
UAGUGUUACAGCUCUUUUAGAAUUUGUCUAGCAGGUUUUCUGGCGUUAGCUGGAAAACCUUA